Molecule: long non-coding RNA, 355 nt
Organism: Mytilus trossulus (common blue mussel)
Lineage: Eukaryota; Metazoa; Mollusca; Bivalvia; Mytilida; Mytilidae
Exons: 2
Source: RefSeq, a predicted model, not a curated record
UGUAUGCACCGUUUGGUACCACUGCUGUGUGAAAUGACUAAACAUUUUAUACUGCAGAUAAAACUAGAUUUAUACUCCCUCGGAUUUCCUUUGAGGUGCGAAAUCAGUUUAGAUUUUUAGAGCUCUAAAUUGUUUGUGUCUGGAUUGGGAAUGAAGAUAACGGUUGUUCGAUAUUCAGUGCCUUUUCAGUACGAUCAUAUCUAAGGAUGUAUCUACAUAAAAACUCGAAAAUCACAGACAAGAAUAAUGAACGUUUCAAGAUAUUAGAACUAUUUGAAAGCAAUAUCAGUUUGUAGAAGAUGAAACAGGUACAAACGCCAUCAGAAAGAAACAAGCAAUAAAAUUAAAAACUUUG